RNAcentral lists this transfer RNA (72 nucleotides) under Gekko subpalmatus. RNAcentral's name for it is "tRNA-Leu". Lineage: Eukaryota; Metazoa; Chordata; Lepidosauria; Squamata; Gekkonidae. The record is from RNAcentral.
ACUUUCAAAGGAUAACAGCCUUCCGCUAGUCUUAGGCGCUAUCAACUCUUGGUGCAACCCCAAGUGAAAGUA